Long non-coding RNA from Mercenaria mercenaria, 1112 nucleotides. RefSeq lists it as uncharacterized. The record is from RefSeq and is a predicted model, not a curated record. The transcript is spliced from 3 exons. Lineage: Eukaryota; Metazoa; Mollusca; Bivalvia; Venerida; Veneridae.
AAUUAUAGAUAGGAUAGCUGAAAAAGUCAACUAUUACAUUAUUACACACAAGGGCAUUUCCUUAUCAACCAUAUACUGACACUUCCCAUCGCGUGAACCCUUACCAGACUACACUUGUUUAAAGGAAGAAAUGAGCAAAGGAUCCACCAUGGAUCGGCAUGAAUGGAUGUUCCCUUUCUCAGUGGUCUAAGGAAACAAGACUGAAAGCAGGCUUGCAGAAAUAACAGCAGAUCAAAAUCUGGUGUGGCACGAUGACAAGUAAAGGUAAAAGCAAAGAAGUCAAGCACCGUCAUAAUCCGUCAAGUGCAGCACAACAAUGAAAAAUGCAGACUGUGUUCUUUAAAGCAAAAACACUGAUUUAUUUCUCGUCCAAUCUUCAGCGAAUUUGGUAUAGAUAUGUGUUCAACAAACCCUGUUGGCUUAAUAAGUGAAGAAGUUAUGUAUUUUAUGACAAUAAUAGUUUAGUCAAUAAGCGAAGCGAACAUUUGCAGCGCUGUUCUACAACAGUACAAAAAGACCAUGUCAGGACGUGUUACUGCCUGUAUCAGCACAAGAAGUGGCAUAAACAUUAUUGCUUCACUAUUAAUUUUGUUAAGUUUAUAACACACCUGAGCACAAAGUGCUCCGUGAUGGCUAUUGUGGUUUCGCUGUGUCCGUCAGCAAACAAUUGAAACGUUAAUACUAUAGUAAUCACAAUGUUAAUUUAAUUGUUCAUUAUGUUACCCUUAAGGUAGUUCUGCACAUUUGAAAAAACGGAAGUGGUGAUGUAAUGUCAUUUAUCCGGAAAACGUAGAAUAAAGCCUUGAUUCGGCGUACGGAAACGAAAAUCAUUUCAUAAACCAAUAGCAACCCGUGAGUAAAUUUAUUACAAUGGCACUGUCAAUUUCUUUCUAAAGUUAAAAUAUGAUAUUAAAACAUCUGAAAAGUUAAAUAAUUUAAAAACAUGUGUUUAUAUUGGCUUUAAAUGUGCGGUUCACUUAAAUCAUGGUCAUCACAAAAAUAAGCACACGGACUUAAAUAUUUUAUUUCAUCAAAUUAUAGACCAGACUAUAAGUUUAUUUACGACUGUGAGAAGUUUCAUUAAAAUCUAUAUUGUUGAAAAAAACAUGAAA